RNAcentral lists this ribosomal RNA (651 nucleotides) under Triticum aestivum (bread wheat). RNAcentral's name for it is "partial small subunit ribosomal RNA". Lineage: Eukaryota; Viridiplantae; Streptophyta; Magnoliopsida; Poales; Poaceae. The record is from RNAcentral.
AUGGCCAAGACCAAGCAGGGCAAGAGGGACAUCGACUCCUACACCAUCAGGGGCACCACCAAGGUCGUCCGAGUCGGGGACUGCGUGCUGAUGCGGCCGUCGGACACGGACAACGCGCCCUACGUGGCCCGGGUGGAGAGCCUGGAGUCGGACGGUCGGGGGAGCGUGCGGGUGCGGGUCCGCUGGUACUACCGGCCGGAGGAGUCCAAGGGCGGCCGCCGGCAGUUCCACGGGGCCAAAGAGCUCUUCCUCUCCGACCACUUCGACACGCAGAGCGCACACACCAUCGAGGGCAAGUGCAUCGUUCACUCCUUCAAGAACUACACCAAGCUCGACAACGUCGGCCCGGAAGACUUCUUCUGCCGAUUCGAGUACAAGGCGGCCACCGGAGCGUUCACUCCCGACCGUGUCGCCGUGUACUGUAAGUGCGAGAUGCCGUACAACCCAGAUGACCUCAUGGUGCAAUGCGAGGGAUGCAAAGACUGGUUCCAUCCAACCUGUAUGGGAAUGACCAUUGAGCAGGCCAAAAAGUUAGAUACUUUUCUGUGCGCGGAUUGUGCUAAAGAAAAUGGUGCAAAGAGACCUUCAAAUUCAUACCCGAGUUCACCAAGUUCUGAUUCUAAGGUUGAGCCGAAAAGGCGGAAGAGGUAA